This 440-nucleotide ribosomal RNA is filed under the name uncultured bacterium. Its description in RNAcentral is "partial 16S ribosomal RNA". It matches the Rfam family "Bacterial small subunit ribosomal RNA", at positions 338 to 795 of the family's 1533-position model. The record is from RNAcentral.
CCUACGGGAGGCAGCAGUGGGGGAUAUUGCACAAUGGGGGAAACCCUGAUGCAGCGACGCCGCGUGAGUGAAGAAGUAUUUCGGUAUGUAAAGCUCUAUCAGCAGGGAAGAAAAUGACAGUACCUGAACAAGAAGCCCCGGCUAACUACGUGCCAGCAGCCGCGGUAAUACGUAGGGGGCAAGCGUUAUCCGGAUUUACUGGGUGUAAGGGGAGCGUAGACGGUUAUGUAAGUCUGGAGUGAAAGCCCGGGGCCCAACCCCUGGACUGCUUUGGAGACUGUGUAACUGGAGGACAGGAGGGGCAGGCGGAAUUCCUGGUGUAGCGGUGAAAUGCGUAGAUAUCAGGAGGAACACCGGCGGCGAAGGCGGCCUGCUAGACUGAAACUGACGUUGAGGCUCGAAAGCGUGGGGAGCAAACAGGAUUAGAUACCCGAGUAGUC